Long non-coding RNA from Girardinichthys multiradiatus, 945 nucleotides. RefSeq lists it as uncharacterized. NCBI's taxonomy places the organism in Eukaryota, Metazoa, Chordata, Actinopteri, Cyprinodontiformes, Goodeidae. The record is from RefSeq and is a predicted model, not a curated record. The transcript has 4 exons.
UCUUAAUUUAAUUAAUACAAAACAUAUUACUACUAAUUUAAAUGUGCUAAUAUCUACAGUCAGAGCAGUAAUAAAAAAGUUAAAUACUGGAGCUGAAAAACAAGGCUAGGUUAGAUGAGGACCUCAGCUUCUGUUCCCCCACACACAGAGAGGUCUAUGGUAAGGGAGGUAAACCCAUCAGCUAACCUCACUGUUAGAGGCCUGCAGUUUUUCAGUGUAAGAUUUUGCUGGUGCAAUAAACAGAACAAUAUGUUUUCAGGCUUUUUCAUGUCUUUAGCAGAUGUGCCAAUAAAUGUGGAAAGGGCAAAUGAAGCAUAUUCCAUAGAGACCUAAAUACCAGAUGAUCCAAAUUAUUACCUCAUCUGUACACAAAUCACCCAACUUAAAUCCCAAAAGCUGCCGCUGACCCUUUUCCACCUCCACGUCCAUGUGCCGCAAACGUUGCAGCAGUUCCUGGUGGGUGAUGGACAGCGUCUCGUGGCGCCGAAUGAUGGGCGUGACCAAAGAUUCGUAGCUGCUGUGAUGCUCGGACCUUCUAUGAGCAAGAGCCUCCAUGCAGCUCCUGAAAUCUUGUGUCUUGAGUGCGAGCAGGACCUCCACGUCAUGCAGCUCGGCCUGUUUUCUUGAAAUUAACAUUUUUUUCAGCGUUUUCAAUCCAGGCAUCAAGAGUUUGCCUGGAGUCUAGACAUUAUAAAAAAAAUCAGAUGAACUGACCCAAACUCUGGCAAUGUCCAACAAUAAGCAACAAGCAUAAUUAAAGCAAAAGUCACAACAAUUCCACAUUUUAAAGUUUUAAUUCCUACCUCCAUUGCAGUUUUGGACAAGUGUCCCCGUCCAGAACAGGGAGAGGAGACGUCGCCAUGUCUGCUGUAAAUGUGUCUUCACACAGUCAAGGCUCUUCUUCUUGGGUUUGUGUAGGCGUUGCCUAGCAACCAUCAGGGAGAC